Molecule: non-coding RNA, 226 nt
Organism: Ochotona princeps (American pika)
Lineage: Eukaryota; Metazoa; Chordata; Mammalia; Lagomorpha; Ochotonidae
Source: Rfam
GGUAUUUACAUAUCUUGGGGAGAUUUAGAGCAUAAACUCCAAGAUCUUGGGUAUUUAAGUGUCAGCAUCGAUUUAUUUAUUUAUUGCUGAGCUGACUGUAACGGACUCAAUAACAAAUCUAAUCAUGUAUUACCCUGGAAAUAUUCUUAUGUAUUUUCUCCAAAGAAUGGCUCACCAUUGCAUUUGAAUGCCCGCUAUAAAUAUCCAUCAUAUCGAGUAAAUUACU